GAUGAACGCUGGCGGCGUGCCUAAUACAUGCAAGUCGAGCGGCAGCACGGUCUUCGGACUGGUGGCGAGCGGCGGACGGCUGAGUAACGCGUAGGAACGUACCCCAAAGUGAGGGAUAACUGCUCGAAAGAGUAGCUAAUACCGCAUGUGGUCUAAGGAUUAAAGCUUCGGCGCUUUGGGAACGGCCUGCGUAAGAUUAGCUAGUUGGUGAGGUAAUGGCUCACCAAGGCGAUGAUCUUUAGCUGGUCUGAGAGGAUGAUCAGCCAGACUGGGACUGAGACACGGCCCAGACUCCUACGGGAGGCAGCAGUAGGGAAUUUUCCACAAUGGGCGAAAGCCUGAUGGAGCAACGCCGCGUGCAGGAUGAAUGCCUUCGGGUUGUAAACUGCUUUUAUAUGUGACGAUUAUGACGGUAGCAUAUGAAUAAGGAUCGGCUAACUCCGUGCCAGCCGCCGCGGUAA
This 461-nucleotide ribosomal RNA is filed under the name uncultured bacterium. Its description in RNAcentral is "partial 16S ribosomal RNA". It matches the Rfam family "Bacterial small subunit ribosomal RNA", at positions 28 to 523 of the family's 1533-position model. The record is from RNAcentral.